UACGUAGGUGGCAAGCGUUGUCCGGAUUUAUUGGGCGUAAAGCGAGCGCAGGCGGAAGAAUAAGUCUGAUGUGAAAGCCCUCGGCUUAACCGAGGAACUGCAUCGGAAACUGUUUUUCUUGAGUGCAGAAGAGGAGAGUGGAACUCCAUGUGUAGCGGUGGAAUGCGUAGAUAUAUGGAAGAACACCAGUGGCGAAGGCGGCUCUCUGGUCUGCAACUGACGCUGAGGCUCGAAAGCAUGGGUAGUGAACAGG
Molecule: ribosomal RNA, 253 nt
Filed under: uncultured bacterium
Lineage: Bacteria
Description: partial 16S ribosomal RNA
Rfam family: Bacterial small subunit ribosomal RNA
Source: RNAcentral